Molecule: small nuclear RNA, 102 nt
Organism: Fukomys damarensis (Damara mole-rat)
Lineage: Eukaryota; Metazoa; Chordata; Mammalia; Rodentia; Bathyergidae
Source: Ensembl
GUGCUCCUUCGGCAGCACACAUUCUAAAACUGAAAUGAAACAGAGAUUAGUAUGGCCCCUGCACAAGCAUGACUGCAAAUUUGUGAAGCAUGCCAUAUUUAA